GACAAUUGAUAAUGGUGUUUUUGAAGUUCUUGCCACAAAUGGCGAUACUCAUUUGGGAGGUGAGAUUCUUGCUUAUUCAAAACAUUUGUUUAGCUGUUAUAUUCUAUGAGUGAAUAUUUUGGGGGAGAAUUGUAACACCAAUGUCAAUGGCUUUUCUCCUAUAGGUGAGGAUUUUGACCAGAGAGUCAUGGAGUACUUCAUCAAGUUGAUCAAGAAGAAGCAUGGAAAGGACAUUAGCAAGGACAAUAGAGCUCUUGGAAAGCUUAGAAGAGAAAGUGAACGUGCCAAGAGAGCUUUGAGUAGCCAACAUCAAGUUCGUGUUGAGAUUGAAUCUCUCUUUGACGGUGUGGAUUUCUCUGAACCGCUUACCAGAGCUAGGUUUGAAGAGUUGAAUAACGACUUAUUCAGAAAGACCAUGGGACCAGUUAAGAAGGCAAUGGAGGAUGCUGGAUUGCAGAAGCAACAGAUUGAUGAAAUUGUUCUUGUUGGUGGCAGCACCAGAAUUCCAAAGGUUCAGCAGCUCCUGAAGGAUUACUUUGAUGGGAAGGAGCCCAACAAGGGUGUGAACCCUGACGAGGCUGUUGCUUAUGGUGCUGCUGUUCAAGGAGGAAUUCUAAGCGGAGAGGGUGGUGACGAAACCAAAGAUAUACUUCUCCUGGACGUUGCUCCACUCACUCUUGGCAUUGAAACUGUUGGUGGAGUGAUGACCAAGUUGAUUCCUAGAAACACUGUUAUUCCAACUAAGAAGUCUCAAGUUUUCACCACCUACCAAGAUCAACAAACAACUGUCACUAUUCAGGUCUUCGAGGGUGAAAGGAGUCUCACAAAGGACUGCAGGCUGCUUGGGAAAUUUGAUUUAACCGGAAUUGCCCCAGCUCCAAGAGGAACUCCACAGAUUGAGGUGACGUUCGAGGUUGAUGCCAAUGGUAUCCUAAAU
This 937-nucleotide unclassified non-coding RNA is filed under the name Hevea brasiliensis (rubber tree). The record is from RNAcentral. Lineage: Eukaryota; Viridiplantae; Streptophyta; Magnoliopsida; Malpighiales; Euphorbiaceae.